GUGUCAGCAGCCGCGGUAAUACGUAGGGUGCAAGCGUUAAUCGGAAUUACUGGGCGUAAAGCGUGCGCAGGCGGUUCGCUAAGACCGAUGUGAAAUCCCCGGGCUUAACCUGGGAACUGCAUUGGUGACUGGCGGGCUAGAGUAUGGCAGAGGGGGGUAGAAUUCCACGUGUAGCAGUGAAAUGCGUAGAGAUGUGGAGGAAUACCGAUGGCGAAGGCAGCCCCCUGGGCCAAUACUGACGCUCAUGCACGAAAGCGUGGGGAGCAAACAGGAUUAGAUACCCUGGUAGUCC
This 292-nucleotide ribosomal RNA is filed under the name uncultured bacterium. Its description in RNAcentral is "partial 16S ribosomal RNA". It matches the Rfam family "Bacterial small subunit ribosomal RNA", at positions 505 to 796 of the family's 1533-position model. The record is from RNAcentral.